CCGUGCUAGACGGGGAGGUAGCGGUGCCCUGUACCCGCAAUCCGCUCUAGCGGGGUUGAAUCCCUUCCUGAGGCUGACACUCUGUAGGGCUGCCUCAAGUAAGUGGUGUUGACGUCCUGGUCCUGCGCAAUGGGAAUCCAUGAACCAUGUCAGGUCUGGAAGGAAGCAGCAUUAAGUGGACGCUCCCAUGUGCCGCAGGGUUGCCUGGGCCGAGCUAACUGCUUGAGUAACGCUUAUGGAUGCCAGUCGAUGGAAGGUGCACGG
This 264-nucleotide signal recognition particle RNA is filed under the name Neobacillus notoginsengisoli. RNAcentral's name for it is "Bacillus notoginsengisoli signal recognition particle sRNA large type". It matches the Rfam family "Bacterial large signal recognition particle RNA". From Rfam's summary of the family: The signal recognition particle (SRP) is a universally conserved ribonucleoprotein involved in the co-translational targeting of proteins to membranes. Archaeal SRP consists of a 7S RNA and homologues of the eukaryotic SRP19 and SRP54 proteins. The record is from RNAcentral. Lineage: Bacteria; Bacillati; Bacillota; Bacilli; Caryophanales; Bacillaceae.